RNAcentral lists this ribosomal RNA (460 nucleotides) under uncultured bacterium. RNAcentral's name for it is "partial 16S ribosomal RNA". It matches the Rfam family "Bacterial small subunit ribosomal RNA", at positions 338 to 795 of the family's 1533-position model. The record is from RNAcentral.
CCUACGGGAGGCAGCAGUGAGGAAUAUUGGUCAAUGGACGAGAGUCUGAACCAGCCAAGUAGCGUGAAGGAUGACUGCCCUAUGGGUUGUAAACUUCUUUUAUAUGGGAAUAAAACAGGGUAUGCAUACCCUCUUGUAUGUACCAUAUGAAUAAGGAUCGGCUAACUCCGUGCCAGCAGCCGCGGUAAUACGGAGGAUUCGAGCGUUAUCCGGAUUUAUUGGGUUUAAAGGGAGCGUAGGUGGAUUGUUAAGUCAAGUGUGAAAGUUUGCGGCUCAACCGUAAAAUUGCAGUUGAAACUGGCAGUCUUGAGUACAGUAGAGGUGGGCGGAAUUCGGGGUGUAGCGGUGAAAUGCUUAGAUAUCACGAAGAACUCCGAUUGAGAAGGCAGCUCACUGGACUGCAACUGACGCUGAUGCGCGAAAGUGUGGGUAGCAAACAGGAUUAGAUACCCGUGUAGUC